This 70-nucleotide transfer RNA is filed under the name Buchnera aphidicola. RNAcentral describes it as "tRNA-Glu". It matches the Rfam family "tRNA". Rfam says of the family: Transfer RNA (tRNA) molecules are approximately 80 nucleotides in length. Their secondary structure includes four short double-helical elements and three loops (D, anti-codon, and T loops). Lineage: Bacteria; Pseudomonadati; Pseudomonadota; Gammaproteobacteria; Enterobacterales; Erwiniaceae. The record is from RNAcentral.
GUCCCCUUCGUCUAGAGGUUAGACUCGCCCUUUCACGGCGGCAACAGGGGUUCAAAUCCCCUAGGGGACG